Molecule: unclassified non-coding RNA, 240 nt
Filed under: Hevea brasiliensis (rubber tree)
Lineage: Eukaryota; Viridiplantae; Streptophyta; Magnoliopsida; Malpighiales; Euphorbiaceae
Source: RNAcentral
GAGCAAUCUCAACUCUUGAGAAUGGUUCGAUCAACCUGCAUAGAUUUUGCUCCAACAAAGUGUCAUAGAGAGAAGAGAGAUGCCUGUGGACAAUAGGGUCUUCCUCUAGUUGAGCCUUAAAAUCUCUAAGUGCUGUCUCGAAAAGCUUCAACGAACGCUUCGAAUGUGCAUCAGCUACAGCCUUCAUGGCAUCCAGCUCAAUCCCCACAUAUUGUAGACCUGCUUUUGAUGAUAUUAUUC